GUGACGGUACCUGCAGAAAAAGCACCGGCUAACUACGUGCCAGCAGCCGCGGUAAUACGUAGGGUGCAAGCGUUGUCCGGAAUUAUUGGGCGUAAAGAGCUCGUAGGCGGUUUGUCGCGUCUGCUGUGAAAUCUGGGGGCUCAACCCCCAGCCUGCAGUGGGUACGGGCAGACUAGAGUGCGGUAGGGGAGAUUGGAAUUCCUGGUGUAGCGGUGGAAUGCGCAGAUAUCAGGAGGAACACCGAUGGCGAAGGCAGAUCUCUGGGCCGUAACUGACGCUGAGGAGCGAAAGCAUGGGGAGCGAACAGGAUUAGAUACCCUGGUAGUCCAUGCCGUAAACGUUGGGAACUAGAUGUGGGGGCCAUUCCACGGUCUCCGUGUCGCAGCUAACGCAUUAAGUUCCCCGCCUGGGGAGUACGGCCGCAAGGCUAAAACUCAAAGGAAUUGACGGGGGCCCGCACAAGCGGCGGAGCAUGCGGAUUAAUUCGAUGCAACGCGAAGAACCUUACCAAGGCUUGACAUAUACCGGAAACGUCCAGAGAUGGUCGCCCCGCAAGGUCGGUAUACAGGUGGUGCAUGGUUGUCGUCAGCUCGUGUCGUGAGAUGUUGGGUUAAGUCCCGCAACGAGCGCAACCCUCGUUCUAUGUUGCCAGCACGUUAUGGUGGGAACUCAUAGGAGACUGCCGGGGUCAACUCGGAGGAAGGUGGGGAUGACGUCAAAUCAUCAUGCCCCUUAUGUCUUGGGCUUCACGCAUGCUACAAUGGCCGGUACAAAGGGCUGCGAUACCGUAAGGUGGAGCGAAUCCCAAAAAGCCGGUCUCAGUUCGGAUUGAGGUCUGCAACUCGACCUCAUGAAGUCGGAGUCGCUAGUAAUCGCAGAUCAGCAACGCUGCGGUGAAUACGUUCCCGGGCCUUGUACACACCGCCCGUCAAGUCAUGAAAGUCGGUAACACCCGAAGCCAGUGGCCUAA
RNAcentral lists this ribosomal RNA (970 nucleotides) under Frigoribacterium sp. RNAcentral's name for it is "bacterial SSU rRNA". It matches the Rfam family "Bacterial small subunit ribosomal RNA", at positions 469 to 1438 of the family's 1533-position model. Lineage: Bacteria; Bacillati; Actinomycetota; Actinomycetes; Micrococcales; Microbacteriaceae. The record is from RNAcentral.